Molecule: ribosomal RNA, 253 nt
Filed under: uncultured prokaryote
Description: partial 16S ribosomal RNA
Rfam family: Bacterial small subunit ribosomal RNA
Source: RNAcentral
ACGUAGGGUGCGAGCGUUAAUCGGAAUUACUGGGCGUAAAGCGUGCGCAGGCGGUGAUGUAAGACAGAUGUGAAAUCCCCGGGCUCAACCUGGGAACUGCAUUUGUGACUGCAUCGCUGGAGUGCGGCAGAGGGGGAUGGAAUUCCUGGUGUAGCAGUGAAAUGCGUAGAUAUCAGGGGGAAUACCGAUGGCGAAGGCAGGUCUCUGGGCUGACACUGACGCUCAUGCACGAAAGCGUGGGGAGCAAACAGGA